GGUCAAGCAAACAAGUGCAUGUGGUGGAUGCCUUGGCGAUCACAGGCGAUGAAGGACGCGGUAGUCUGCGAAAAGCGAUGGGGAGCUGGCAAACAAGCUUUGAUCCAUCGAUAUCCGAAUGGGGAAACCCACUCCGUAUGGAGUACCCUUGACUGAAUACAUAGGUCAUGUGGAGCGAACGCGGUGAACUGAAACAUCUAAGUAACCGCAGGAAAAGAAAUCAACCGAGAUUCCCAAAGUAGUGGCGAGCGAAAUGGGAUGAGCCUGUACUCUUUAUUCUUAUUGUUAGCUGAACGCUCUGGAAAGUGCGGCCAUAGCAGGUGAUAGCCCUGUAAGCGAAAACAGUAGGGAAGAACUAGGUGUACGACAAGUAGGGCGGGACACGUGAAAUCCUGUCUGAAGAUGGGGGGACCCUCCUCCAAGGCUAAAUACUCGUGAUCGACCGAUAGUGAACCAGUACCGUGAGGGAAAGGCGAAAAGAACCCCGGGAGGGGAGUGAAAUAGAUCCUGAAACCGCAUGCAUACAAACAGUCGGAGCCUCGUAAGGGGUGACGGCGUACCUUUUGUAUAAUGGGUCAGCGACUUACGUUCAGUAGCGAGCUUAACUGAUUAAGGCAGGCGUAGCGAAAGCGAGUCCGAAUAGGGCGAUCAGUUGCUGGGCGUAGACCCGAAACCAAGUGAUCUAUCCAUGGCCAGGUUGAAGGUGCGGUAACACGUACUGGAGGACCGAACCCACUAACGUUGAAAAGUUAGGGGAUGAGCUGUGGAUAGGGGUGAAAGGCUAAACAAACUUGGAAAUAGCUGGUUCUCUCCGAAAACUAUUUAGGUAGUGCCUCGUGUCUCACCUUCGGGGGUAGAGCACUGUCAUGGUUGUGGGGUCCAUUGCGGAUUACUAGGCCAUAGCAAACUCCGAAUACCGAAGAGUGUAAUCACGGGAGACAGACAUCGGGUGCUAACGUCCGGUGUCAAGAGGGAAACAACCCAGACCGCCAGCUAAGGUCCCCAAGAUUGGCUAAGUGGGAAACGAAGUGGGAAGGCUAAAACAGUCAGGAGGUUGGCUUAGAAGCAGCCACCCUUUAAAGAAAGCGUAAUAGCUCACUGAUCGAGUCGUCCUGCGCGGAAGAUGUAACGGGGCUCAAGCCAGUCACCGAAGCUGCGGAUGCACACGCAAGUGUGUGUGGUAGGAGAGCGUUCCGUAAGCCUGCGAAGGUGUGUCGAAAGGCAUGCUGGAGGUAUCGGAAGUGCGAAUGCUGACAUGAGUAGCGAUAAAGGGGGUGAAAAGCUCCCUCGCCGUAAGCCCAAGGUUUCCUACGCAACGUUCAUCGGCGUAGGGUGAGUCGGCCCCUAAGGCGAGGCAGAAAUGCGUAGCUGAUGGGAAGCAGGUCAAUAUUCCUGCACCAUUGUUAGAUGCGAUGGGGGGACGGAUCGCGGAAGGUUGUCCGGGUGUUGGACGUCCCGGUCGCUGCAUUGGAGAAGGCGCUUAGGCAAAUCCAGGCGCGCAAUUCAAGGGUGUGGCGCGAGUGACUUCGGUCACGAAGCAAUUGGAAGUGGUUCCAAGAAAAGCCUCUAAGCUUCAGUCUAACAAGACCGUACCGCAAACCGACACAGGUGGGCGAGAUGAGUAUUCUAAGGCGCUUGAGAGAACUCGGGAGAAGGAACUCGGCAAAUUGGUACCGUAACUUCGGGAUAAGGUACGCCUCUGUAGCUUGACUGGCCUGCGCCAGAAGGGUGAAGAGGUUGCAAUAGACUGGUGGCUGCGACUGUUUAAUAAAAACACAGCACUCUGCAAACACGAAAGUGGACGUAUAGGGUGUGACGCCUGCCCGGUGCCGGAAGAUUAAAUGAUGGGGUUCAAGCUCUUGAUUGAAGUCCCGGUAAACGGCGGCCGUAACUAUAACGGUCCUAAGGUAGCGAAAUUCCUUGUCGGGUAAG
Candidatus Burkholderia brachyanthoides is the source of this 1932-nucleotide non-coding RNA. The record is from Rfam. Lineage: Bacteria; Pseudomonadati; Pseudomonadota; Betaproteobacteria; Burkholderiales; Burkholderiaceae.